This 508-nucleotide ribosomal RNA is filed under the name uncultured Actinomycetes bacterium. RNAcentral describes it as "bacterial SSU rRNA". It matches the Rfam family "Bacterial small subunit ribosomal RNA", at positions 8 to 522 of the family's 1533-position model. The record is from RNAcentral. Lineage: Bacteria; Bacillati; Actinomycetota; Actinomycetes.
AGAGUUUGAUCAUGGCUCAGGAUGAACGCUGGCGGCGUGCCUAACGCAUGCAAGUCGAGCGAGGGCCAUCUGGUGGCAACACCGGGUGGUGCCUAGCGGCGAACGGGUGAGUAACACGUGGGUAACCUGCCCCCGACACCGGGAUAAGCCUGGGAAACUGGGUCUAAUACCGGAUAUGAGCCUCCUCCGCAUGGUGGGGGCUGGAAAGGGUCUCCGGUCGGGGAUGGGCCCGCGUCCUAUCAGCUUGUUGGUGGGGUAACGGCCUACCAAGGCGACGACGGGUAGCCGGCCUGAGAGGGUGUACGGCCACACUGGGACUGAGACACGGCCCAGACUCCUACGGGAGGCAGCAGCGGGGAAUAUUGCGCAAUGGGCGAAAGCCUGACGCAGCGACGCCGCGUGCAGGACGACGGCCUUCGGGUUGUAAACCGCUUUCAGCAGGGACGAAGCGAAAGUGACGGUACCUGCAGAAGAAGGUCCGGCCUACUACGUGCCAGCAGCCGCGGUA